CCAAACAACACUAGAUAAGUCAUUUAGUGGUUCAACGCAAUGUUUCCGAGUUCUUAGCCCAUUUGGCACCCAAUUUCAACAAGUCUUUCUACACACUUCUAAACACUCUUCAUGCAUCUCUAGGUCUUGUAAUCGAUCAAAUUAAAUGUAUUUUAACAUAUACUAACCCCAAAAUACAGUAGAUAAGUCAUUUAGUUGUUCAACGCAAUGUUUCCGAGUUCUUAGCCCAUUUGGGACCCAAUUUCAACAAGUCUUUUUACACACUUCUAAACACUCUUCAUGCUUCUCUAGCACUUGUAAUCAAUCAAAUUCAUUGUAUUCUAACAUAUUCUGACACCAAACAACACUAGAUAAGUUUUUUAGUGGUUCAAACGCAAUGUUUCUGAGUUCUUAGCCCAUAUGGGACCCAAUUUCAACAAGUCUUUCUACACACUUCUAAACACUCUUCAUGAAUCUCUAGCACUUGUAAUCAAUCAAAUUCAUUGUAUUCUAACAUACUCUAACCUUAAACAACACUAGAUUAGUCAUUUAGUCGUUCAACACAAUGUUUCCGAGUUCUUAGCCCAUUUGGAACCCAAAUUCAACAAGUUUUUCUACACACUUUUAAACACUCUUCAUGCAUCUCUAGCACUUGUAAUCAAUCAAAGUUAUAGUAUUCUAACAUAUUCUCACCCGAAACAACACUAGAUAAGUCAUUUAGUGGUUCAACGCAAUGUUUCUGAGUUCUUAGCCCAUUUGGG
This 740-nucleotide long non-coding RNA is filed under the name Capsella rubella. RNAcentral describes it as "long non-coding RNA (CRUB_LNC000403)". Lineage: Eukaryota; Viridiplantae; Streptophyta; Magnoliopsida; Brassicales; Brassicaceae. The record is from RNAcentral.